Molecule: ribosomal RNA, 1355 nt
Filed under: uncultured bacterium
Lineage: Bacteria
Description: bacterial SSU rRNA
Rfam family: Bacterial small subunit ribosomal RNA
Source: RNAcentral
AUUGAACGCUGGCUGCAGGCUUAACACAUGCAAGUCGAACGAUGAUUAUCUAGCUUGCUAGAUAUGAUUAGUGGCGGACGGGUGAGUAACAUUUAGGAAUCUGCCUAGUAGUGGGGGAUAGCUCGGGGAAACUCGAAUUAAUACCGCAUACGACCUACGGGUGAAAGGGGGCGCAAGCUCUUGCUAUUAGAUGAGCCUAAAUCAGAUUAGCUAGUUGGUGGGGUAAAGGCCCACCAAGGCGACGAUCUGUAACUGGUCUGAGAGGAUGAUCAGUCACACCGGAACUGAGACACGGUCCGGACUCCUACGGGAGGCAGCAGUGGGGAAUAUUGGACAAUGGGGGCAACCCUGAUCCAGCCAUGCCGCGUGUGUGAAGAAGGCCUUUUGGUUGUAAAGCACUUUAAGCAGGGAGGAGAGGCUAAUGGUUAAUACCCAUUAGAUUAGACGUUACCUGCAGAAUAAGCACCGGCUAACUCUGUGCCAGCAGCCGCGGUAAUACAGAGGGUGCGAGCGUUAAUCGGAAUUACUGGGCGUAAAGCGAGUGUAGGUGGCUCAUUAAGUCACAUGUGAAAUCCCCGGGCUUAACCUGGGAACUGCAUGUGAUACUGGUGGUGCUAGAAUAUGUGAGAGGGAAGUAGAAUUCCAGGUGUAGCGGUGAAAUGCGUAGAGAUCUGGAGGAAUACCGAUGGCGAAGGCAGCUUCCUGGCAUAAUAUUGACACUGAGAUUCGAAAGCGUGGGUAGCAAACAGGAUUAGAUACCCUGGUAGUCCACGCCGUAAACGAUGUCUACUAGCCGUUGGGGUCCUUGAGACUUUAGUGGCGCAGUUAACGCGAUAAGUAGACCGCCUGGGGAGUACGGCCGCAAGGUUAAAACUCAAAUGAAUUGACGGGGGCCCGCACAAGCGGUGGAGCAUGUGGUUUAAUUCGAUGCAACGCGAAGAACCUUACCUGGUCUUGACAUAGUGAGAAUCCUGCAGAGAUGCGGGAGUGCCUUCGGGAAUUCACAUACAGGUGCUGCAUGGCUGUCGUCAGCUCGUGUCGUGAGAUGUUGGGUUAAGUCCCGCAACGAGCGCAACCCUUUUCCUUAUUUGCCAGCGGGUUAAGCCGGGAACUUUAAGGAUACUGCCAGUGACAAACUGGAGGAAGGCGGGGACGACGUCAAGUCAUCAUGGCCCUUACGACCAGGGCUACACACGUGCUACAAUGGUAGGUACAGAGGGUUGCUACACAGCGAUGUGAUGCUAAUCUCAAAAAGCCUAUCGUAGUCCGGAUUGGAGUCUGCAACUCGACUCCAUGAAGUCGGAAUCGCUAGUAAUCGCAGAUCAGAAUGCUGCGGUGAAUACGUUCCCGGGCCU